CGGGGCGGGCGCAUGGUCGCCGGUGCCGGCGGCCCUGGCUGUCGGCACCGGAGGAAAGUCCGAACUCCGUCGGGCAGGGAGGUUCGUAACGCGAACCGGGGGCAACCCCAGGGAAAGUGCCACAGAAAAUAUACCGCCGGCGCCUCGGCGCCGGUAAGGGUGAAAUGGCGAGGUAAGAGCUCACCGCUUGCCUGGUGACAGGCAAGGCAGGGUAAACCCCUCCCGGAGCAAGAUCAAAUAGGGAAACGUUUGAGGGCGGCCCGUCCGAAGUUUCCGGGUAGAUCGCAAGAGACGCCGGGCAACCGGCGCCCUUAGAGAAAUGACCAUGGCCCAGCUUUGGGUACAGAAUUCGGCUUACAGCCCGCCCCGAUCC
This 373-nucleotide RNase P RNA is filed under the name Desulfurivibrio alkaliphilus. RNAcentral's name for it is "RNase P RNA component class A". It matches the Rfam family "Bacterial RNase P class A". From Rfam's summary of the family: Ribonuclease P (RNase P) is a ubiquitous endoribonuclease, found in archaea, bacteria and eukarya as well as chloroplasts and mitochondria. Its best characterised activity is the generation of mature 5'-ends of tRNAs by cleaving the 5'-leader elements of precursor-tRNAs. Lineage: Bacteria; Pseudomonadati; Thermodesulfobacteriota; Desulfobulbia; Desulfobulbales; Desulfobulbaceae. The record is from RNAcentral.